Molecule: non-coding RNA, 29 nt
Filed under: Homo sapiens (human)
Lineage: Eukaryota; Metazoa; Chordata; Mammalia; Primates; Hominidae
Source: RNAcentral
UGGGAUACCCGGCUUGACUUGAAAUCUGA